Pimephales promelas (fathead minnow) is the source of this 670-nucleotide non-coding RNA. Lineage: Eukaryota; Metazoa; Chordata; Actinopteri; Cypriniformes; Leuciscidae. The record is from RefSeq and is a predicted model, not a curated record.
UUGUGGGGGUUUGAUGGUUUGAGACAAACACUGUUUUUCAAAUGAUUUCAAAAAUGGAGUAACGUUACUGUGAUAGUACAGGUAAUACAUUUUGCCACAAUUUUAACCCAAACGCCAGUUUGCAUAUAUUAGUCAUCACUGUCAUUCAUAUUAGGCUACUUGGCACUGGAUGCAACAUUAUGUUUUUAGUAAAAUGUGUUCAAAAGUUAAGGGCGUAUCAAAAGGUCGGACUAUCGAGAUCCAAAACAUUUUUAACACAUUUUAAGCAGAGGCUUUAUGUGGUCCAUUGGAGAAGGUUAUUUUUACACAAGCUUGUAUCAGAUGUCAGCGCACUGUGAUCUGCUGACCCGCAGAACAGCCAGAGCCGAGCUCGCUCUGGAGGACACGUUGAUCCAAUCACAACACGUCUCCAUCAUGGCCAAGCAGACGCAAGAUGAAGAUACUGGGACACACAAAUACCGGCUGCCUCAAAACAUAGAAAACAAUGAAACUGGAUGUCUUCAACCCUGGGUCUGUUGUGAAAGCACUCUCGUAUUUUGCCCCGGGUUAUAUAGAGCUGGAAUAUGAUACGAGACCAACUCGCACUCCACGUGGAAGAACGGCGUCGCUUCUUUGAGUGAUUUCAAAGAAAAGGAAUGAAGCUAAUAAAGGUGGUGAAGGAUUGAUUAUA